RNAcentral lists this ribosomal RNA (572 nucleotides) under Saccharomyces cerevisiae (brewer's yeast). RNAcentral describes it as "eukaryotic LSU rRNA". It matches the Rfam family "Eukaryotic large subunit ribosomal RNA", at positions 62 to 648 of the family's 3401-position model. Lineage: Eukaryota; Fungi; Ascomycota; Saccharomycetes; Saccharomycetales; Saccharomycetaceae. The record is from RNAcentral.
AAACCAACCGGGAUUGCCUUAGUAACGGCGAGUGAAGCGGCAAAAGCUCAAAUUUGAAAUCUGGUACCUUCGGUGCCCGAGUUGUAAUUUGGAGAGGGCAACUUUGGGGCCGUUCCUUGUCUAUGUUCCUUGGAACAGGACGUCAUAGAGGGUGAGAAUCCCGUGUGGCGAGGAGUGCGGUUCUUUGUAGAGUGCCUUCGAAGAGUCGAGUUGUUUGGGAAUGCAGCUCUAAGUGGGUGGUAAAUUCCAUCUAAAGCUAAAUAUUGGCGAGAGACCGAUAGCGAACAAGUACAGUGAUGGAAAGAUGAAAAGAACUUUGAAAAGAGAGUGAAAAAGUACGUGAAAUUGUUGAAAGGGAAGGGCAUUUGAUCAGACAUGGUGUUUUGUGCCCUCUGCUCCUUGUGGGUAGGGGAAUCUCGCAUUUCACUGGGCCAGCAUCAGUUUUGGUGGCAGGAUAAAUCCAUAGGAAUGUAGCUUGCCUCGGUAAGUAUUAUAGCCUGUGGGAAUACUGCCAGCUGGGACUGAGGACUGCGACGUAAGUCAAGGAUGCUGGCAUAAUGGUUAUAUGCCGC